Molecule: unclassified non-coding RNA, 223 nt
Filed under: plant metagenome
Description: partial contains small subunit ribosomal RNA, internal transcribed spacer 1, and 5.8S ribosomal RNA
Source: RNAcentral
UUUCCGUAGGUGAACCUGCGGAAGGAUCAUUAAAGAGGAUAUGCCCUUCGGGGUAGGUCUCCCACCCUUUGUUUAUAUUACCUUUGUUGCUUUGGCAGGCCCGUCUUCGGACCACCGGCUUCGGCUGGUCAGUGCUUGCCAGAGGACCCAAAACUCUUAUUAUUAAUGUCGUCUGAGUACUAUAUAAUAGUUAAAACUUUCAACAACGGAUCUCUUGGUUCUG